Molecule: ribosomal RNA, 537 nt
Filed under: uncultured Glomeromycotina
Lineage: Eukaryota; Fungi; Glomeromycota
Description: SSU rRNA
Rfam family: Eukaryotic small subunit ribosomal RNA
Source: RNAcentral
AGCAGCCGCGGUAAUUCCAGCUCCAAUAGCGUAUAUUAAAGUUGUUGCAGUUAAAAAGCUCGUAGUUGAAUUUCGGGAUCAAUAUAUCGGUCGUGCCUUGGUACGUACUGGUAUCAUUGGUUUCUCCUUUCUGACGAACCAUGAUGUCAUUAAUUUGGUGUUAUGGGAAGUUAGGACUGUUACUUUGAAAAAAUUAGAGUGUUUAAAGCAGGCUAACGCCUGAAUACAUUAGCAUGGAAUAAUGAAAUAGGACGUUCGAUCCUAUUUUGUUGGUUUCUAGGAUUGACGUAAUGAUUAAUAGGGAUAGUUGGGGGCAUUAGUAUUCAAUUGUCAGAGGUGAAAUUCUUGGAUUUAUUGAAGACUAACUACUGCGAAAGCAUUUGCCAAGGAUGUUUUCAUUAAUCAAGAACGAAAGUUAGGGGAUCGAAGACGAUCAGAUACCGUCGUAGUCUUAACCAUAAACUAUGCCGACUAGGGAUCGGAUGAUGUUAAUUUUUUAAUGACUCAUUCGGCGCCUUACGGGAAACCAAAGUGUUU